ACAAAGAAAAGCAAAACCGAACUUCAAAGUAAGGUUUUGGGUUUCCAGGGUUUCCACUUACGGCUUACCCAUCUUCUGGUUCUGCCGUUCUGCAUUUGUCUUGGAGACUUGGAGUCUUGCUGCUACGGACUACUUCACUCCUUCCGAUCCACUUCCUUCCUACCGGAAUCUGCUAUAAUUGGAGUUGAUCAGUUGAAUGGUCGAAUUAGAAAACUCCUGGAUGUCUCCUAAAAGUGAAGAAAUGGUUUAACCCCAAUGGUUACCUCGUUCGUCUCUCUAUCUCCAUUGCCAUAUCUCUGUUUUCAUCUCAUUCUUGUCUGCUCACCAAAGCUGGGGACGUCUAUCCAAUAAAAGCCUUACCAUUUCUAGCUCAUAACUGGUAAGAACCAGAGCCCUAGCUCUUACAGCGACUCAGAAAUUCUUGAAGAAUUAGGGCUUCUCGUUGCGUCUACUUUCGGGUAAUUGUUGAGGAACUAAACUAUGUUGCACAGAGUGUGCAAUACAAAACUUGCAAGAAAUUGAAGCAAUCAGAAAUAAAAGAAAAACGACAUCCUCUAUUAAGUAAGUCUGCGACCCCACUUGGCUGUUUCUAUCAUUGUGUUAUUCUCCUCUAGAGUUCAUCUUGGAUGAUUCAUGUUCUAGAUCAGAAUGUCCUUUUUGGUUCUGUUUUUUAAAUUAAUGGAGGUGUUAUACCUCUGGCAUAUUGGGUUAUUCAAACUUAGGAUUACCAGAUUAAAAUCUCUGCCUCAGCACAGUAACUGAAUGAGUUUCUGCUAGUAUGUUCUACCCAUAAUACAAAAAUCUUAGUAUGCUUAGUAUGUUUUCUUUGGACAGCACGUGAAGAGAGGUUUCCUUGAUCAUAAGGUGUAAAUGACCCAUGCUAUUGUAAAGGCUAUGCAUGUUGAUGGGACUUGAAAACUUGAUUAUUUAAUUAACCAAAGGCUAU
This is a long non-coding RNA of Macadamia integrifolia, 946 nucleotides long. RefSeq lists it as uncharacterized. The transcript is spliced from 3 exons. Lineage: Eukaryota; Viridiplantae; Streptophyta; Magnoliopsida; Proteales; Proteaceae. The record is from RefSeq and is a predicted model, not a curated record.